Molecule: long non-coding RNA, 247 nt
Filed under: Prunus persica (peach)
Lineage: Eukaryota; Viridiplantae; Streptophyta; Magnoliopsida; Rosales; Rosaceae
Description: long non-coding RNA (PPER_LNC007480)
Source: RNAcentral
CAGAUUGAAGAAUGAUGAAACUGCCACCAAGAAGGCAUAUCAUAUUUCUUCAGGUCAAUGGAAGAAGGCGAUUAGGAACUUGAAAUGCCGGAUACAUUUGGGUUAUGAAAAUCAAACAUGAGAUUCUAUAUGCAAUACUACCUUAGGCUUUCGUUCAUUUCAUCCAAAAAAAAAAAAAAAAAAAAACUACCUUAGGCACCAUUGUUACAUGAAACAUUUGCGCAGGAGUUAAAUAAUUACCGUCCCG